RNAcentral lists this ribosomal RNA (760 nucleotides) under uncultured bacterium. RNAcentral's name for it is "bacterial SSU rRNA". It matches the Rfam family "Bacterial small subunit ribosomal RNA", at positions 28 to 773 of the family's 1533-position model. The record is from RNAcentral.
GAUGAACGCUAGCGGCAGGCCUAACACAUGCAAGUCGAGGGGCAGCAUAUUUAAUUUUUCGGAAUUGAAUGAUGGCGACCGGCGGACGGGUGCGUAACGCGUAUGCAACCUACCUUAAACAGGGGGAUAAUCCGAAGAAAUUUGGUCUAAUACCCCAUAAUAUUAUAAAUGGCAUCAUUUAUAGUUGAAAUAUUUAUAGGUUUAAGAUGGGCAUGCGUGACAUUAGUUAGAUGGUAAGGUAACGGCUUACCAUGACAAUGAUGUCUAGGGGAACUGAGAGGUUAAUCCCCCACACUGGUACUGAGACACGGACCAGACUCCUACGGGAGGCAGCAGUGAGGAAUAUUGGUCAAUGGACGGAAGUCUGAACCAGCCAUGCCGCGUGCAGGACGACGGCUCUAUGAGUUGUAAACUGCUUUUGUAAGAGAGUAAAUUAUAGUACGCGUACUAUUUUGCAAGUAUCUUACGAAUAAGGAUCGGCUAACUCCGUGCCAGCAGCCGCGGUAAUACGGAGGAUCCGAGCGUUAUCCGGAUUUAUUGGGUUUAAAGGGUGCGUAGGUUGCAUUGUAAGUCAGUGGUUAAAAGCGGUAGCUCAACUAUCGUAGUGCCAUUGAAACUACAAAGCUAGAGAAUGGUUGCAGCAGGCGGAAUGUGUAGUGUAGCGGUGAAAUGCUUAGAUAUUUACACAGAACACCGAUUGCGGAAGGCAGCUUGCUAAGCCAAAUUCUGACACUGAUGCACGAAAGCGUGGGGAUCAAAC